Molecule: long non-coding RNA, 3372 nt
Organism: Triticum urartu
Lineage: Eukaryota; Viridiplantae; Streptophyta; Magnoliopsida; Poales; Poaceae
Source: RefSeq, a predicted model, not a curated record
UUAGUAAUUCACUGCGUGAUUAAUUGUGCUAGAUAAAAGCCACCGCCUACCUACCAAAUUUAUUCAGAUUUCCAGCCUUGCCUGCCCAUUCAAAUUUAUUCAAAGCCACCGCGUCGCACCCAUCUAUACCCACGAGGCCGGCCAGGACCCCAAAUCUCCAAUUCCAUUCGACGCGAUCCCUUCCGUCCCGCUAGAAUUCCAUCUAGGCACGGCCUCCCUCCCGCUGGAUCCCGAGUUGGCGUUGGCGAGCGCCUGGUGGCUGGGCUACACGCUUGGAACCCGGCGCCCGGCGCCGCGGCGGAGCAUGGUGGCCGCCUGGCCGGGAGGCAUCACAGGGUCGCCGGGUGCUUCUCCUCGGCCGCCGCCGCCGCCGUCAACACCUCCUCGUCCAGCCUUCUUCCUCAUAGAUCUAGGGUAGACGGGGAGCAGAGGAGCAGCCAGCAGAUCAGGAGGAGCAGCAGAUCCGGGUUCAGCGGUGGCUGCAGCCAUGGGACGCUAGGAUGAUCCAGGGGGGCCUUGAUGCAAGCGGAUGCCGAAUCUCUCUGGUGCGGCGCGGUGGCCGUACGUCAGGGAGAGGCACCGGGCCGACGCCGCAGCAGCCCAUACGUUACCUUGCUCGUCCAGCCGUCUUCCUCCGAGAUCUGAUAGGUUGGACGCAGGGUAGAGGAGGAGCACGAGGAGGAGCAGAUCCAUGUUCUGCGAUGCUGGCCGCAGCCAUGCAUGGGACGCUAGGUCGAUCCAGGGGAGGCGACUGAUGCCAGCGGAUGCCAUUCUUUUCAGGAGCCACAUGAGGUUUGUCUUAAACUACUGUAUGAUUCUAGUCAUCAGUAUUCGCUACUGUUUGCUUCAGUUACCACAUGAGGUUUGCCUUAAACUUUGAUUCUAGUGCGCAUUCUAUGAUCAGAGCUGCUGGUUUUUAGCGUGUGGGAACUGAAACUUGUAACCAAGUUUCCAUGUCGCACGAAAACUUGCACCGCGGAGAACAUUUCUCUUUGCUAUCACGAUAGGCGGAAUGCUCAGUCUUACUUUGAUGCUCGGUCACACAAGCUAUCGUGGACUGAAUAUUGAAAUAGUACCGUAUUGUAUUAUACUAGUAAACUGGAAAGAUUCUGCAAUGACCACACAUAUCUUUGCCGUCUUGACUAGAGUAUAGGUUACCGAUAAUAUCGUUGCUUAAGAGUAUCUCUAAAGCGGACCUUCAAAGUCCACGUAUAUAUCCGGACCACAAUGUUUGGAUCAGCUUUUGUCAUUCAAUACGAACUCAUAUGUCCAUGGACCAGUCCGCAUGUUCGAAAUCCCGAUAUCCUGGGAACAACCGUGAGGGGGAUAUGCGGGAGUUCGAACAUCCUCUUGACCAACAAAAAGCUACCACGUGCCUACGCUACCACACAUUCUGUUCUUCCCUCUCUCUCCUCCAAAAGGAAGAGGAGCAGCGAUGCAUACAGGGACCACGCACCCACUUGCCCUCUCCUUCUUUCUCCCACUGCAAUUUCUCUCACGAAAUUUGCAAAUAGCUUUGGAUGGUUUCCUUCCGCAUCUCGUCCGGGUACCACGUCCGGACACGUUUGAGGAAAUUUGUAGUGUCUGUUUUAGGGAUUUGCACUAGAGGCGCCCUCAGGCUGCUUAUUACCAAGUGGGAAUUUGCGGGUUCGAUUUUAAUUACAGGGCAUUUAAGUUUGAUUGUUUUUCUCCAUAGUUUUUUUUAAGAAACCAGGAGUUAUUUUCUUCAUUUCAGUUAAAAAUUCGAAGUAAUCAUACUUGAAAUAGUAAACACUACUUGUCUUCUUUCCUUAUGUAGCUUGUUUACAAUUUUUAGUCUAAUACUUCAUGAGGAAAUUUGUGGCAUUAGAUCAACUCUAGCAGAGUUGUCAUAUCAAGCCAAACACAUAAUAACAUGUAUGGUAACUUUGACCCCAAAAAAGUCGUUCUAGCAGAGUCGCCAUCCACCACUCCAAUUGCCAUAUGUUUGGAGGGAACUCCGAAUCAAGACCUGCCUCAAUAUUUGGAGGAUGGGGAGAGGGACAUUUAGAGCGCACUCCAUCCCGAAAACUGCUACUUGGCAUGAGCGACAUUUCCCCUCUCUCCCCUCUUCCCGCCCGCGACGCCACCUGACAUACCUCAUCGUAGCACAACCUCCUUUUGACCACAUGACAUGUCGAUGACACCAUGAACUCCGACACGACCCCUACAUCCCAUUCCUCCGGUGUCCCACGAGAUCAUGCGCUUCCCGCUCAUCCUACUCCUCCAUACUAUUUCGCGCAACCCCCCCCCCCUCAACAUCAUGUUGCCGAGGACACCACCUCGUUGGAUCUUCCAUCGACGAUGCAACCGCACAGGCUAUAGACCCUCUGCUGUCAGGCAUCACCUCCAUCCUCCGACCUCCCCCGCAGCCACCACACUGUGUUGGUCGCCCAACCGUAGCGAAGAACAAUACAAAAUGGAGGAAGAAACCGAAUUUCAACUCCCCACUUUGUUCAAGCAGAUGUCGACGCAUUGGCGCCUUCGAACUUUGAAGCAUUUGGUGACAUGCAAAGUUGGUAAAUAAACCUCCUUCCUUUGUCCUUUGAUUUGUUUGCUUCAAUGCAAGGUGUUAGUAGAACAAUGGUGGCAAUUGUGUAAUAUUUGUGUGUAGUGAUGCUUUUACGUAUUUCAGAGGAUUGCUUGUUAAUAAUGAAUCCUCCUUGAGGGGUAUGAUGCAAGAUUCAGUUGAGACCAAUGAUUUAAAUAGUAGAGACUUCUCUCUUCAUUAAAUGUUGUUGAGCACACUGAGUGGUCGGAUGCUGUGAGCAAAGAUGCGAAAUUGGAUCAAUUCCAUGCCUCCCAAUCUUCUACGAAGAAAGCAUCUCCGGUUUCAAACUAUAUCAAUGAAGAAGCCUUCUGUGUUGCUGGCAUGGCAUUAUACUACUCUGGAUGCGGUCGCCAAGAAUGGUCAAACUAGUGUAAAGUAUUGGAAGCGACCAAAAGAGAGUUCCAACCGUCGAGGAAGGUUUUUGGAGCAAGUAAGGAACUCAUCUCCUAGCAGUGUUACCAUUAACAAUAUGGGAUAGCCCAGGAAAGGUACAAACAAAUGUCGAGGGUGAAGGGGAAAGCAUUUGGCCUCUGCCCUCGUUGAAAAGAAUUAGAGGGCAAUGUGAAGAGGAAAUAGAGGAAUGAGGAGGCUCCAACGUUGAAACAAAUGAGUCAAUCCAUUGACGCCAUUUUGUUGGAAAGCCUUUCAUUUGCGUAUAUUGUUGCAAGAAUGGCCAUUUAAAUUUGUUGUAGGCCUUUCCAAAAUCUACUUUGAAGAUAGCUAUGUCAAGUUUUGUCGACCGCAACGUAUGGAUCCUUUCAUGUAAUACAACAAUCCCCUCCAGGAUGUGUCACCCUGGCAUG